This 253-nucleotide ribosomal RNA is filed under the name uncultured bacterium. RNAcentral's name for it is "partial 16S ribosomal RNA". It matches the Rfam family "Bacterial small subunit ribosomal RNA", at positions 524 to 776 of the family's 1533-position model. The record is from RNAcentral.
UACGGAGGGAGCUAGCGUUGUUCGGAAUUACUGGGCGUAAAGGGCGCGCAGGCGGCUUUGUUUGUCAGGCGUGAAAGCCCCGGGCUUAACCUGGGAACUGCGUUUGAUACGGCAGGGCUAGAGUUCGGGAGGGGAGAGUGGAAUUCCCAGUGUAGAGGUGAAAUUCGUAGAUAUUGGGAAGAACACCGGUGGCGAAGGCGGCUCUCUGGACCGAUACUGACGCUGAGGCGCGAAAGCGUGGGGAGCAAACAGG